UUGCUGGCCCUCAAACGGGGGCAUAUGUGCACGCUCUGUUCACACAUCCACUCACACCUGUGCACCCUCCGUAGUUCUGUGGCCUGGGGGCCUGUCCUCCUGCCGUGGUUCUAUGUCUUUACACACACACACUGUAACAAAGUCUUAUGGAAUGUAUGCCGCGUUUAACGCAAUACAAUACAACUUUCAGCAACGGAUCUCUUGGCUCUCGCAUCGAUGAAGAACGCAGCGAAAUGCGAUAAGUAAUGUGAAUUGCAGAAUUCAGUGAAUCAUCGAAUCUUUGAACGCACCUUGCGCCCUUUGGCCAUUCCGAAGGGCAUGCCUGUUUGAGUAUCAUGAACAUCUCAACUCUCAUGGCUUGCCAUGAUGAGCUUGGACUUUGGGGGUCUUGCUGGCCUGUGGUCGGCUCCUCUCAAAUGGAUCAGCUUACCAGUGUUUGGUGGCAUCACAGGUGUGAUAACUAUCUGCGCUUGUGGUUUUCCAUCAGAUAACCUUCAGCAAUGGAGGUUCGCUGGAGCUUAUAAACGUCUCUCCUAAGCGAGGACAGCUCUUUGAACGUUUGAUCUCAAAUCAGGUAGGACUACCCGCUGAACUUAAGCAUAUCAAUAAG
RNAcentral lists this ribosomal RNA (610 nucleotides) under uncultured Tomentella. RNAcentral's name for it is "eukaryotic LSU rRNA". The stretch from base 182 to 336 matches the Rfam family "5.8S ribosomal RNA". Lineage: Eukaryota; Fungi; Basidiomycota; Agaricomycetes; Thelephorales; Thelephoraceae. The record is from RNAcentral.